Molecule: transfer RNA, 63 nt
Filed under: Haementeria officinalis (Mexican leech)
Lineage: Eukaryota; Metazoa; Annelida; Clitellata; Rhynchobdellida; Glossiphoniidae
Description: transfer RNA Glutamic Acid
Source: RNAcentral
UUAUAUAUGGUGUAACUAAACACAUUAGCUUUUCAAGCUAAAAAUAUAAUUUUAUUAUAUCAG